CGUGUAGGCGGCCAGAUAAGUCAGAUGUGAAAGCCCGGGGCUCAACCCCGGAAGUGCAUUUGAUACUGUUUGGCUUGAGUGCGGGAGAGGAAAGCGGAAUUCCCAGUGUAGAGGUGAAAUUCGUAGAUAUUGGGAGGAACACCGGUGGCGAAGGCGGCUUUCUGGACCGACACUGACGCUGAGGCGCGAAAGCGUGGGGAGCAAACA
This 207-nucleotide ribosomal RNA is filed under the name uncultured delta proteobacterium. RNAcentral describes it as "partial 16S ribosomal RNA". It matches the Rfam family "Bacterial small subunit ribosomal RNA", at positions 568 to 774 of the family's 1533-position model. The record is from RNAcentral. Lineage: Bacteria; Deltaproteobacteria.